Molecule: transfer RNA, 85 nt
Filed under: Tritonibacter sp.
Lineage: Bacteria; Pseudomonadati; Pseudomonadota; Alphaproteobacteria; Rhodobacterales; Paracoccaceae
Also listed under: 1 other name
Description: tRNA-Leu
Rfam family: tRNA
About the family: Transfer RNA (tRNA) molecules are approximately 80 nucleotides in length. Their secondary structure includes four short double-helical elements and three loops (D, anti-codon, and T loops).
Source: RNAcentral
GCGGGCGUGGUGGAAUGGUAGACACAAGGGACUUAAAAUCCCUCGGCCUUAGGCCAUGCGGGUUCGAGUCCCGCCGCCCGUACCA